CUGUUUCUCCGGCUGCCAGCGCAAGCUUCCUUGUCCUGCGAUUUUUCAUUCUCUCCCUUCUCUCUCACUUUUCGUUGUCAUCUGUGAACGUGCGCGACCAUGAGCGACGACGAGGAUGGAGUGCUCAGUCGUCGGCGCUUCCGCGGCGUGGAUGUCGACGAGGACUUGUCCCCUGGUCUGAUUGUGCGGCUCAAAUACGCCAUGUACCUGUUUGUAGCACUUCUUUUUUCGCUGAUGGCGCGCGGGCUGAUGAGCUCCUUGCUGGAUAAGAUCCCGAUGCUCGAAAAAGGGUGUGCCAUGAGCAGCAAAGGCGGCGUUGUCCAAGCCGCGUGCGCGGCGGAAAUGCUCAUCUACCGCGUAAGCUUCGCGCUCACAGCCUUCUUCGGCAUCCACUUGAUCAGCGUGUCUGACCUGACGUGCUGCAUCCGAAGCAGGGACCUCGCCGAGCUGCAGCGCAGCUUCUUCACAGCCAAGACGGUGCUGCUGGUGGUCCUCUGCAUUGUGACAUUCUUCAUUCCCAACGGCUUCUUCUCUGUGUACGCCUAUGUGUGUCUCGUCUGCUCCGGCUUGUACCUGCUGAUGAACGUCGUCUUCCUCGUCGACUUCUCGUACCAGUGGAGCGACGACUGGAUCGAGCGCGCAGACGGCAACCCCAAGUGGAUGUGGUACCUCCUCGUCAUCGCUGUCGGCAGCUUCGUCCUCGCCAUUGCCGUCAUCGUCGCUUCGUUCGUGAUCUUUGUCCCGCACUCGGACUGCAACUCCAACGCGUGCAUCAUCACGAGCGUCACCGUGGGCGCGUUCAUUUACUUUAUCCUGUCCAUUUACGUUCCGCAUGGCUCCAUUGUGCCGAGCAGCAUUGUCUUUCUCUACACCAGCUGCAUCCUGCUCUUUACGCUGCGCACGACAGACAACGAACACUGCAACCGCAUGGCCACACGCCCGAGCAGCACUACGUACUCGAUUUUACAGACUAUCUUCACGAUGCUGCUCACGUGCUUUACACUGCUCUACAGUGUUGUGGCUGCCGGCGGUAGUGGUGCGUCGCUGAACAUCGGCCAGAACGAGGACGGCGAGGCCGAGAACCCCGAGGAAACUGGCCACCUGUCACACUACAUGUUCUUCUACACCAUCAUGAUCUUUGGCUCCAUGUACCUGGCGAUGCUAGGCAGCUCCUGGCACGUCAGCGGCGCUGGUGAGGACGGCUUGUCGAAGAGUAUCAACAUCGCCUUCUGGGUGCGCUUGUCGACGGUCUGGGCGGCGAUUUUCGUAUACAUUUGGUCCCUUGCGGCGCCAUACACGUGCUGCAAGGGUCGCGACUUUGGCUUCGCGGUGGACGAGGACUGGAUUUGAGAGGUGGGAUGGCAGGCACGUGGUGCCCCCACCGCCAACCUCCCUCCGAGCCACCGCGCUGCUGUUGCGUACCCUUUUCUGUCAGCCAGCCGCUCUCUCUCUAUUUUGUGCUCCGCCUUCCCCGUGUGCCUCCGCUACUCUUCCUCUCUCACACACAGGCCGGGGCCACUGUGCAGCGUUUCUCUCUUUCGGCCUUGUCUCCGUGAUGCGUGAUGCCUUUCUCUCUUUUCUUUCCGCUGCUUGUCACAUGCCACCUCUUCUGCUCUCUCGCCCGCAACGCAGGAGGGAGAACGGGAAGGCGAAGCGGUGUCUACACGCGCACAGAAAGAAGCAAGCCCCCUCCCGCCCCUCAACUGUACACAUAUGCACACAUACGUGCAUAUGCGUGUACCUUCCUCCCACUCUCUUCAGCUCUCUUCUUGCUUUGCUUUCACGUACUUCGGCCAUCCCUCCCCUUCCCCCUACCCCCACAUCACCGCCACAUGAGAUGGCGGGUUAUCUGCAUGGCCAUUUCGUUUUUUUUUCUUUCUUGUUGUUGCCUUGCGAUUGGCUUUCCCCUCCCGUCGCGGUGUUAUCCUUCAGUGUGUGCCGCGCUGUGUGAUGACCACAAGUGUGUGUGUGCGUGUGUGCUUUUCACGGCCUGAGACGCAGGACAUCAACGGGCAUCACUGUUGCUGACCUCCCCGUCUUCUCUCCGCUCGCAUUUCGUUCGCACGCUCGGAGGCCAUCCGCGAUCGGGCCCCUGCGCGGUUCAUGGUGGCCUCUUCAUCUGAAGGAUUUGUGUGUGCCAGUGUCUCCGCGUCUCUCGGGGUGUGUGCUUCUUUCCACAUGUGAGGCCCUAUCUCGUUUUUUAUUGUGUAUGCGAGCGCGUCGUUCGUACGUACUGCAUGUAUGUGCGUGUGUGUGUCCCGUUCCCAAUAUGACUGAGGCACGCCCAUUGAGGACG
RNAcentral lists this unclassified non-coding RNA (2296 nucleotides) under Leishmania donovani. RNAcentral's name for it is "gene:LdHU3.28.1310(CDS-product:Serine_incorporato r_(Serinc)_putative)". Lineage: Eukaryota; Euglenozoa; Kinetoplastea; Trypanosomatida; Trypanosomatidae. The record is from RNAcentral.